Molecule: non-coding RNA, 816 nt
Filed under: Goniada japonica
Lineage: Eukaryota; Metazoa; Annelida; Polychaeta; Phyllodocida; Goniadidae
Source: RNAcentral
CCACAAUUUGGCUCUAGUUGCUAGGUUAACUAUAUCUAUAAAUUCACAUGCAAGAAAUUCAUUCCCGUAAACAAUACAUUAAUCUAAAAGAUUAAAUCAAAAUACAUCAUAUUAAUUUAAUAUCAAUGUUAAAUAAAUUACGCCAGCAGUGUAGAAAUCUGUUAAAACUGUUAAAACAAGAUUCGGUAAUAGAUAAUAAAGUUGAUAAAAUUCGUGCCAGCCAUCGCGGUUAGACGACAAACUUAAGUUAACCAAAUACGGAUAUAUGGUAAUUCACAACAGUUAUAAAAAAGAAAUUAAAAGGUCCAAUUUGAAAACUUAACCUCCUCUAUCUAUAACUAAUAACCACACCAUGAAAACCUAAACCAAAACAAGGAUUAGAUACCCUUUUAUUCUAGGUCAUAAACCCCAUCCUGGCACUACGAGCACAUGCUUAAAACCUAAAGAGCUUGGCGGUGUUUCAUCCAACUAGGGGAGCCUGUUAUAUAAAUCGAUAAUCCACGCUUAAAUAUACCUAUUUUAGAUAAUCAGCUUGUGUACUGCCGUCGAAAGUUUACACUGCAAAGUAGUAAACAAAAAAAUUUCACUAUUAUUACGUCAGGUCAAAGUGCAGCCUAUAAAUAGGAAAUAAUGGGCUACAUUUUCUAAAAAUUCGGACUACUUCAUAAUAAAACACAAAGAUGGACUUAGAAGUAAUUUAAAAUUCAAUAUAUUUAAAUGAAAAAGGUAAUCUGAAACGUGCACACAUCGCCCGUCGCUCUCCCCCAAAGGGGAGAUAAGUCGUAACAUAGUAGACGUAAUGGAAAUUGCGCCUUU